Molecule: non-coding RNA, 159 nt
Organism: Caenorhabditis elegans
Lineage: Eukaryota; Metazoa; Nematoda; Chromadorea; Rhabditida; Rhabditidae
Source: Ensembl
GCUGCUGCCUCACCGCGCUUUUUGCCCGUACCUCGCCUGUUCCACCGGAAACGCGUGAAGAGAGAAAGCAAUGAUUGGAGAAGCGCAGAGAAGCAGACGAGCACUCGUCGCUACACGCGCGUCUCCUAUAACUGUACACUCUCAGAUUUGAAUCGAUUG